RNAcentral lists this ribosomal RNA (327 nucleotides) under uncultured eukaryote. Its description in RNAcentral is "partial 18S ribosomal RNA". It matches the Rfam family "Eukaryotic small subunit ribosomal RNA", at positions 1470 to 1796 of the family's 1831-position model. The record is from RNAcentral.
CCCUUAGAUGUUCUGGGCCGCACACGCGCUACACUGAAGGAGGCAGCGUGUACUCCAGGAUCGAAAGAUUUGGGUAACCCGCGAAUCUCCUUCGUGCUAGGGAUUGAGGUUUGCAAUUAUCCUUCAUGAACGAGGAAUUCCCAGUAAGUGCAAGUCAUAAGCUUGCGCUGACUACGUCCCUGCCCUUUGUACACACCGCCCGUCGCUACUACCGAUUGAAUGAUUUAGUGAGGACUUCGGACUGGGACCGAUGCGGCUUUCGGGCUGCGUCGGUAUUCUGGAAAGAUGUCCAAACUGUAUCAUUUAGAGGAAGUAAAAGUCGUAACA